This 26-nucleotide non-coding RNA is filed under the name Callithrix jacchus (white-tufted-ear marmoset). The record is from RNAcentral. RNAcentral also lists the same sequence under 3 other names. Lineage: Eukaryota; Metazoa; Chordata; Mammalia; Primates; Cebidae.
AGUUUAAUAUCUGAUACGUCCUCUAU